GUGCCAGCAGCCGCGGUAAUACGGAGGAUGCAAGCGUUAUCCGGAUUCAUUGGGUUUAAAGGGUGCGUAGGCGGCUAUUUAAGUCAGUGGUGAAAUCUUGCCGCUUAACGGUAAAAUUGCCAUUGAUACUGAAUAGCUUGAGUACAGUUGAGGUAGGCGGAAUGUGUAGUGUAGCGGUGAAAUGCUUAGAUAUUACACAGAACACCAAUUGCGAAGGCAGCUUACUAAACUGACACUGACGCUGAUGCAUGAAAGCGUGGGGAUCGAACAGGAUUAGAUACCCUGGUAGUCCACGCCGUAAACGAUGCUCACUCGCUGUUUGCGAUACACAGCAAGCGGCCAAGCGAAAGCAUUAAGUGAGCCACCUGGGGAGUACGAUCGCAAGGUUGAAACUCAAAGGAAUUGACGG
RNAcentral lists this ribosomal RNA (409 nucleotides) under uncultured bacterium. Its description in RNAcentral is "bacterial SSU rRNA". It matches the Rfam family "Bacterial small subunit ribosomal RNA", at positions 505 to 916 of the family's 1533-position model. The record is from RNAcentral.